RNAcentral lists this ribosomal RNA (505 nucleotides) under uncultured bacterium. RNAcentral describes it as "partial 16S ribosomal RNA". It matches the Rfam family "Bacterial small subunit ribosomal RNA", at positions 28 to 507 of the family's 1533-position model. The record is from RNAcentral.
GACGAACGCUGGCGGCGUGCCUAAUACAUGCAAGUAGAACGCACAGUUUAUACCGUAGCUUGCUACACCAUAGACUGUGAGUUGCGAACGGGUGAGUAACGCGUAGGUAACCUUCCUGGUAGCGGGGGAUAACUAUUGGAAACGAUAGCUAAUACCGCAUCAUAUUGAUUAUUCCAUGAUAAUUGAUUGAAAGAUGCUAUUACAUCACUACCAGAUGGACCUGCGUUGUAUUAGCUAGUAGGUGAGGUAACGGCUCACCUAGGCGACGAUACAUAGCCGACCUGAGAGGGUGAUCGGCCACACUGGGACUGAGACACGGCCCAGACUCCUACGGGAGGCAGACGUAGGGAAUCUUUGGCAAUGGAGAAAAGUCUGACCGAGCAACGCCGGGUGAGUGAAGAAGGUUUUCGGAUCGUAAAGCUCUGUUGUAAGAGAAGAACGGGUGUGAGAGUGGAAAGUUCACACUGUGACGGUAUCUUACCAGAAAGGGACGGCUAACUACGUG